Molecule: ribosomal RNA, 207 nt
Filed under: uncultured bacterium
Lineage: Bacteria
Description: partial 16S ribosomal RNA
Rfam family: Bacterial small subunit ribosomal RNA
Source: RNAcentral
CACGUAGGCGGACUGAUCAGCCAGGGGUGAAAUCCCGGGGCUCAACCCCGGAACUGCCUUUGAUGCUGUCAGUCUAGAGAUCGAGAGAGGUGAGUGGAAUUCCGAGUGUAGAGGUGAAAUUCGUAGAUAUUCGGAGGAACACCAGUGGCGAAGGCGGCUCACUGGCUCGAUACUGACGCUGAGGUGCGAAAGCGUGGGGAGCAAACA